GUCCACGCCGUAAACGAUGAGUACUAGAUGUUGGGGGAUUUGACCCCCUCGGUAUCGAAGCUAACGCGUUAAGUACUCCGCCUGGGAAGUACGGCCGCAAGGCUAAAACUCAAAGGAAUUGACGGGGGCCCGCACAAGCGGUGGAGCAUGUGGUUUAAUUCGACGCAACGCGAGGAACCUUACCCAGGCUUGACUUCUAGGGAAUCUCUGGGAAACCAGGGAGUGCCUUCGGGAACCCUAAGACAGGUGCUGCAUGGCUGUCGU
Molecule: ribosomal RNA, 264 nt
Filed under: uncultured bacterium
Lineage: Bacteria
Description: partial 16S ribosomal RNA
Rfam family: Bacterial small subunit ribosomal RNA
Source: RNAcentral